Molecule: unclassified non-coding RNA, 210 nt
Filed under: Rozellomycota sp.
Lineage: Eukaryota; Fungi; Rozellomycota
Description: Cryptomycota sp. partial contains small subunit ribosomal RNA, internal transcribed spacer 1, and 5.8S ribosomal RNA
Rfam family: Eukaryotic small subunit ribosomal RNA (bases 1-46)
Source: RNAcentral
AAGUCGUAACAAGGUUUCCGUAGGUGAACCUGCGGAAGGAUCAUUAACAAAUCUUUAAACAAACCUUUGUGAAUAAGGGGGAGGAUAUAUACAUAUACAUAUAUAUAUAUAUAUAUCCUUUUCCUAGAAACAUAUAUACCAAAAAAAGUCUAUAAAUAAUUUAUAAAAAUAAUUUAAAUACAACUUUUAACAAUGGAUCUCUUGGCUCUU